This 629-nucleotide long non-coding RNA is filed under the name Apteryx owenii (little spotted kiwi). RNAcentral describes it as "lncRNA (ENSAOWG00000014813.1)". Lineage: Eukaryota; Metazoa; Chordata; Aves; Apterygiformes; Apterygidae. The record is from RNAcentral.
AGGAGGUUGGAGUGUUGGAGCUUCUGGAUGGAAGUCACUGGAGAUAUCAGUUCCUAUUGUAAUUUAUUUGUGAUCUUGACUGAGGGAUGAAAGUGUCCAAACCACUAAAACCUAAUUAGAACUAAUUUUCAAUCUUGCCAGUUGCAGCAAAAAGGCUAAGUGCUAAAUUGCCCUGUGGAGGUUACGUCACUCUGUUGUCUUCAUCCCGAUUUUUCUGGGUCAGGAUUGGGACACACUGACCUGCCAGAUAUCUAAUCAUCCCUGCGAUAUCCAGCUCAGUGGAUUAAUGAAGAAGAAGAAAACAUAGCCCUGCUGAAAAUGAACGUUUGGAAGAUGUGAAUUUUGAGUAUGUGAAUGAAACAGUCAGACAGGAAUACCGAAUGUGGACUGAGGAUGCCAAGGGAAUUGUUUCCAUAGAAACAAAACCAUGGAGGCUCACAUGGCUCCCCCAUCUCAGACUUACAAAUUCAUAUGAUUAUCUUAAUGGUCAACAUAAUGGAUUGAAAAGAGGUUUUUCUGUGAUGCUCACAGAAACUGCUGAGAUGCUGCUCACCGGUGCUGCACAGACCCAGGCAGAAUGGGAUGCUGUGAUGCUUCAGGAAGUAGCAGAAUCGUCAAAAAGGUGUUGA